CCGGAAGGUGGUGAUUGACUCCGCUGUCCUGGCGUCGUGAGGGAGCUUGUUCCACCAUUGGGGUGCCAGAGCAGCUAACAGUUUUGACUGGGCUGAGCGGGAACUGUGCUUCCUCAGAGGUAGGGGGGCCAGCAGGCCAGAGGUGGUAAGGGGACAUUGAUUUGAUCAUUCAGGUAAGGGGACAUUGAUUCGUUUAUUCAGGUAAGGGGACAUUGAUUCGUUUAUUCAGGUAAGGGGACAUUGAUUUGUUCAUUCAGGUAAGGGGACAUUGAUUCGUUUAUUCAGGUAAGGGGACAUUGAUUUGUUCAUUCAGGUAAGGGGACAUUGAUUUGAUCAUUCAGGUAAGGGGACAUUGAUUCGUUUAUUCAGGUAAGGGGACAUUGAUUUGUUCAUUCAUGACGUAUGAUUUGUCCUUAUCUAUUCUGCAUGUGUGUGGUUGGGUGUAGGUCAACUGUUGCCCUACUUCUUGCCAAUGUCUGCUGCAUUCUCAUACUGUCCAUGGAUAGGUUACUGUCUCAUACUGUCCAUGGAUAGGUUACUGUCUCAUACUGUCAUGGCUAGGUUACUGUCUCAUACCAUCACACUGUCCAUGGCUAGGUUACUGUCUCAUACUGUCCAUGGCUAGGUUACUGUCUCAUACUGUCCAUGGCUAGGUUACUGUCUCAUACUGUCCAUGGAUAGGUUACUGUCUCAUACUGUCCAUGGCUAGGUUACUGUCUCAUACUGUCCAUGGAUAGGUUACUGUCUCAUACUGUCCAUGGAUAGGUUACUGUCUCAUACUGUCAUGGCUAGGUUACUGUCUCAUACCAUCACACUGUCCAUGGCUAGGUUACUGUCUCAUACCAUCACAUUGUCCAUGGCUAGGUUACUGUCUCAUACUGUCCAUGGAUAGGUUACUGUCUCAUACUGUCAUGGCUAGGUUACUGUCUCAUACCAUCACAC
This 942-nucleotide long non-coding RNA is filed under the name Salmo salar (Atlantic salmon). RNAcentral describes it as "lncRNA (ENSSSAG00000106881.1)". The record is from RNAcentral. Lineage: Eukaryota; Metazoa; Chordata; Actinopteri; Salmoniformes; Salmonidae.